UACGGAGGAUGCAAGCGUUAUCCGGAAUAAUUGGGCGUAAAGCGUUCGUAGGUGGUGAUGUAAGUCUGCUGUUAAAGCGUGUAGCUUAACUACAUAUAGGCGGUGGAAACUACAUGACUAGAGUGCGUUCGGGGCAGAGGGAAUUCCUGGUGUAGCGGUGAAAUGCGUAGAUAUCAGGAAGAACACCGGUGGCGAAGGCGCUCUGCUAGGCCGUAACUGACACUGAGGGACGAAAGCUAGGGGAGCGAAUGGG
RNAcentral lists this ribosomal RNA (253 nucleotides) under uncultured bacterium. RNAcentral's name for it is "partial 16S ribosomal RNA". It matches the Rfam family "Bacterial small subunit ribosomal RNA", at positions 524 to 776 of the family's 1533-position model. The record is from RNAcentral.